This 34338-nucleotide long non-coding RNA is filed under the name Setaria viridis. Its description in RNAcentral is "long non-coding RNA (SVIR_LNC005242)". Lineage: Eukaryota; Viridiplantae; Streptophyta; Magnoliopsida; Poales; Poaceae. The record is from RNAcentral.
UGGAUCAGGCCCAGAUCAACGAUCAUUUACUAUUAUGGUUCAUGGUCUUCAUUCCCAAGGAAAGCUUGAUGAGGCUCUGCAAUAUUACACAACAAUGAAGUCAAGAGGGUUGAUCUCUGAACCAAGGACCAAGAUACUGGUGAAAGCUAUACAUAUGAAGAAAGAUGGGGCUGUCACAGAAGAUCAGUCUGCAAAUAUGACAGGGAAGAAUCUAAAACUGGAUCCACGAUCUAGACUAUUCCAUGUUCAUAAAUAGUUUGCUGUCAGAUCUUACUUCUAUAACCUGAACAGAGGAUUGCUGGGCACGUAUUAUGUGUCAAAAGAAUCUCUUCUACCAGUCUCCAGAUCACAAUGGCCACACCUUGGGCUACAAUAAAUCAUCAGCAAAGUGUAUUGGCAUUAUGUAUCCCAGAAAGUUUUGCUCAGACUUUCAAUGCCAGGGUAUGUUUUUUAUGUCUGAUACGGAUCAAUUGCAAGUACUGUAUUACACCGCUCGUAUUAUGAAGGUUAUGUGAAAUAUGACAGAUGUUUGUUUAUUCAUCUGUUAUGCAUGGCUGUGUCUACUGUCUAGUUGUUGGCUUGUUGCCACCAUAUGCAGCAGCAGGUAGCUUCAGCCGCUCAGAAGCCCAAAUGAAGGAUGGCCCAGGCAGAAUAGCUAUGUCUAGACCCAGAAAGCUUAGGACAUGUCUUGCCAGCCUGCAGUUUUGUACUCGUAGCACCAACCAUCUCCGGGUUCUGGCCGGUUAUAUACAUGAUCUGGAAUGGGCAUCCGCUGAUCGAUUGAAACCUUGAACUGCUUCCGUGUUUGUCUUUUACCAUCUAUAUAGUAUGGUUAGUCAACGGCAUGCAGUACACCCAUGCAUAUGAUUGCAGUAGGAUGACAUGGCACGACCAGAACCCUUCUUUUGCCAGUUUUAGACUCUUAUACACGGCCAACUGACGCAGCAGGGAGUUGCAUGCUAAGUAGUUCAGCGUAGGUGGUGAGUUCUCAACUCUGAUAUGGCUUAUGGAAGAACACUGUCACGGUGUCACCUAGCCGGUUGGAGGCCAACCUCUUACUAGGGACAGCAAUGGCCCUGUCCACUGUUUCGUGGCUGGUAUUGUUACCCCUAUGCAGUGAAUAUGACAUGUGGAUCUAUGUGUAUAUUAUGUCGUCAAAAGAACAUUAUAUGAACCGUUGAUCCACCUUUGAUUCUAUUAAUGUGUCAUGGUCAAUUGAUGUCAAACUCUAUUAUCUUCAAGGCUUAUUGUAUUGAUAAAAUCACGAUGCUGCUACUGCCAUUUUGAUGUUUAUAAAAGGGUAUUGAGAACCUGGUGGGUAUCCAUUCGAUGCGCAGGGGUGGGGGUGGGGAAAAAUGAGUGUAAAGGACAGGGAUACAAUAUUUAGAAAGAUGGGGCUGCCACAGGAGAUAGUCUCCAAGUAUGGCAGGGAAGAAUCUAAAACUGAUUCCUUGAUCAAGACUGUCCCAUAUUCAUAAAUAGUUCACUGACAGAUCUUGCUUCCAUAUUCUGAACAGCUGAUGCUGGGCACAUAGGUGGUUAACCGGUCAGCGGAUCGAAGAAAAAAAAAUCUUGCCUGUCAGUGUCCGUGAUGGCCUCAUCUUGGGUUAGAGACAAUCAUCCGUAAAGAAUCAUGUGUUUGCCUGAUUAGUUCAAUCUCAAGUACUGUUUUACAGCUUUUACUCUGAGGGAUAUGUGAAAUAUAUGCAUAUUUGUUUGUUUAUCUGUUAUGUGUGCUGUCUAGUUGCUGCCAACAUAUGGACCCGUAAACUACGGAUAAAAGGAUGUUUUCAUAUCUUACAUAGAAUUUGGAAAACACUGUAAGUACUUCUGGUUUCGAAUGGCAAACCAUUACAAACCGAACUGAUGGUACAGUUGACUUAUUACUCCAUUUUUUGCCUUAACUUGCACCUCCGUUUGUUUCUGUUAAAUAUAUAGAUCAUACAGUGCCUGGCUACGCAGAAACUCAUAUAUAGUACAGAAAGAGUUUUGUUUGAAUGUUUGGCCACUUCCACACUGCAGAUCCUGAAUUGUUCUCAGGUAAGCUAUUUUCUGUUGCUAAUUUGCUGCCUCUGGACUACCUGCCACUUCUCUUUGCUGUUUGUUCACCGUCUUUUGACUGCCUUAUUUUGAUAAUCAGGAAUUCUUAUGUGAAAAGUACUUGAGUAAAGAUAAUAAUUCUGUUUACAUCCUUUAAACAAUUGUGUUCAUGAGAAGGAAUGAUGCGUUUCCUUUUAAGAGAAUUGUACCGAUCAACUCUGAAGUUGCAAUAUAUUCUAGGAAAUAGGUGGUCAUGAGGAUGAUACCUGCAGACUAUACUUUUAAUCCCUCAAUUCUUACAGAGAAUUGAGCUAUCAACUGCGCUUUCAUUUAUGCCACACUGCUCAGCUAUAAAAAACGGUGCAAAUCGACCAAAAUAAAUGAAUAAACCACGCAGUUUAGACUGGUGGCAUCUGUAUGUUUGAUGAGUUUAGAAUCCCAACAGACCUCUGUUUGCUUAUCCAACAGGAGGAAAAAAAACUUUACUUACUAAAUCAGCUUUGCAUGUCAGGCUGCAAUUGUUACAGCAGAAUUGGGUAAUUUGUGAACAUAAUUGAAUCAAAGUUUUGUCUCAGACUAGUAAUAGAAAAUGGUAAUGCUCCAUAGCUAGAACACGUUCCUACACUAGUUUAAAAAAUCCCCUGAAAUUGGCGACAAUGGUCAAGCCCAAUGUCAAAGUCAAAAAUUCCUACCUGCGUUCCUACCAUGCCUUGUUUAGUUGCCCAACUUUGGACAACCAAAAUUACUGUAUCGCAAUUGUAGUAUUUCGUUUGUAUUUGUGAAUUAUUGUUCAAAUAUUGACUAAUUAGGCUUAAAAGAUUCGUCUCGCAAAGUACAACAAAACUGUACAAUUAGUUUUUAAUUUCGUCAACAUUUAGUACUCCAUGCAUGUACAGCAAGUUUGAUGUGACGAAGAAUUUUUUUUGGGAUUUUGGGGAACUAAAGAGUCCAUUGGAACUUUGGAAGGCCGCUGGCGGAUGUCAAAGUCAAAAACAGAAGCAGACAGCGACGUCUCACCAGAUCACGAAUCAGAUGCGAUGCAUGUGCAUGUUAAUCAUUAGCACGCAUCCCUUAGGAUUAAACAAUUCAGCAAGUAGCUCCCCUGCUGACCAAGAAAAGCAAGCUCUGUCUGGCAGCAAGCUCUUCAAUACGCUCCAGCCCAGCUCUACCAUGGCAUUGGCAAUACGCGUCAUGAGCUUGCUUCCUGCCACCAUCGCCGUGAUGAUCGCAGCGGCCUCCUGGGGAGCGCACGGCGGUGCCAGCGACGAGGCCAGCGCGCUGCUUGCUUUCAAGGCUGAGCUCGCCGGCAGCGGCUCCGGCAUGCUUGCAUCCUGGAAUGGCACCGCUGGCGUCUGCGGCUGGGAGGGCGUGGCGUGCACCGGCGGCCAGGUGGUGGCACUGAGCCUGCCCUCCUAUGGGUUCGCCGGAGCCCUCUCCCCGGCCAUUGGGAACCUCACUUUCCUGCGGACCCUGAACCUGAGUUCCAACUGGUUCCAGGGGGAGGUCCCAGCAAGCAUCGGCCGCCUAGCGCGUCUGCAGACGCUUGAUCUGAGCUACAAUGCGUUCUCUGGUACGCUUCCUUCCAACCUCAGUUCCUGUGUCAGCUUACUGCUGUUAGAUCUCAGCAGUAACCGGUUCCAUGGGCGUAUCCCUGUUGAGCUUGGAGACAAGCUAACAAGUCUUCAGAAGUUCUCACUGGGCAACAACAGCUUGACGGGUGCCAUACCAGGAUCACUAGGUAACCUGUCAUCCCUGAACUACCUUGAUCUGACAAAAAACCACCUCGAGGGUCCGAUCCCACAUGAACUUGGCAGCAUGGGCGGCCUGCAGGUCCUUGCACUCGAUGAGAACAGACUCUCCGGUGUGCUUCCACACUCCCUGUACAAUCUGUCCUCACUGAAAAGCUUGUGGGUAGGAGACAACAUGCUGUCUGGAACCAUCCCUGCUGAUAUCGGCGAUAGGUUCCCCGGUAUGGAAGCUCUUGACUAUUCUAGCAACCGAUUCAGUGGAGCUAUCCCACCUUCGCUCGCCAACCUUUCUGCUCUCACAAAACUAGUCCUUCAAGAAAAUGAUUUUAUUGGAUUUGUGCCUUCUGCUUUGGGGAAGUUGCAAAGUCUUACUGGCCUUUUCUUGGGUGACAACAGGCUAGAAGCAAACGACAGUCAAGGGUGGGAAUUCAUCACUUCACUGGCAAACAGCUCCCAACUUCAGCUUCUUGUUCUCGGCAACAACUCUUUCAGCGGGCAACUGCCUAAUUCAGUCACAAACCUGUCAUCAACUCUGCAAGGUCUUUAUUUGGGAGACAAUAUGAUUUCUGGGAAUAUUCCAAUAAACAUCGGAAAUUUGGUUGGUCUUACAGUAUUUGAGAUGGGAAAUAAUACUUUUGUAUCUGGACAGAUUCCAGAGAGCAUUGGUCAGCUAAGAAACUUGGGUGUGUUAGGCCUUUACAACACUAGCUUGUCAGGCCUCAUACCUUCAUCACUAGGAAAUCUUACACAGUUGAAUCUUCUUUAUUUAUACUAUGGAAACUUAGAGGGGCCAAUUCCAUCAAACUUGGGGAACUUAAAGAAUGUGUUUGCCUUUGAUCUCUCAACAAAUCGACUCAAUGGUUCAAUUCCUAUAGAGGUUUUAAAACUUCCUCGACUUUCCUGGUACUUAGACUUAUCAUAUAAUUCAUUAUCCGGGCCACUUCCAACUGAGGUUGGUACCAUGGUGAAUCUUAACGAACUGAUUCUGUCUGGAAACAAGUUGUCAGGCACCAUACCAGCUAGUGUUGGGAACUGUAUAUCGUUGGUACGGCUGCUGCUCGAUAACAACUUAUUAGAAGGAAGCAUACCUCAAUCUCUGAAGAACUUAAAAGGUCUUGCAUUACUGAACCUAACAAUGAACAAGCUAUCUGGUAGUAUUCCUGAUGCCCUUGCUAGCAUUGGCAACCUGCAACAACUGUAUCUAGCACACAACAACUUGUCAGGUUCCAUCCCCAAAGUUCUACAGAAUUUGACAUUGUUGGCAAAACUGGAUUUGUCAUUCAAUGAUCUGCAAGGCGAAGUGCCAAAAGGGGGUCCUUUUGCAAAUGCAACUCACUUGUCAAUUGAUGGAAAUGGUGAGCUUUGUGGCGGAAACCCUCAACUUCACUUAGCUCCGUGCUCCACAGCUGCUGCGGGGAAGAACAGAAGGCGAAUGUCAAGGUCAGUUAUGGUCACCGUAGCGUCAAUCUGCGCACUUCUAUUCUUAGGUUUAGUAGUUUUUCUUAUCCAUUUGAUCCACAAGAGGCUCGGACAAGGAAAGGAAAAUCAACUCAUUCCCACAGUAAUUGAUGAACAGCACGAAAGGGUUUCAUAUCAAGCAUUAGCAAAUGGGACUGACCAUUUUUCGGAGGUUAAUCUGCUCGGACAAGGAAGCUAUGGUGCAGUUUAUAAGUGCACUUUACGUGACAAGGGAAUUACCGCAGCUGUAAAGGUAUUCAACGUAUGUCAAUCUGGUUCUACUAGAAGUUUUGUAGCUGAAUGUGAGGCACUGCGAAGGGUGCGCCACCGAUGUCUCAUAAAGAUCAUCACCUGUUGCUUAAGCAUUGAUCACCAAGGCCAAGAAUUCAAGGCACUGGUUUUUGAGUUCAUGCCCAAUGGUAACCUAAAUGGUUGGCUGCAUCCAGCAUCCAAAAUACAGAGUCUGAGCAAUACGCUCAGCUUAGCUCAGAGACUGGACAUUGUGGUAGAUAUCAUGGAUGCUUUGGAUUAUCUUCACAAUCAGUGUCAACCGCCUAUUAUCCAUUGUGAUCUCAAACCAAGUAACAUCCUCCUUGCCGAAAGUAUGAGUGCUCGGGUUGGAGAUUUCGGCAUAUCAAAAAUCCUUCCUGAUGACACUAGCAAAAUUAUGCUGAAUUCGGUUAGCUUCACUGGACUAAGAGGUUCCAUUGGAUAUGUCGCUCCAGGUAACAGAAACUAACACUGAUAUUGCUAUGUUCAGUUCUUAACUUCCAUUUUGCCAAGUCCAGUUAUCUCGGCAUGAAUCGUUCGUAAGUAGCUUGCCAUGAAUCCACUGACCAAAUAGUGUCUGAAAUCUGAAUUGACUGCAGAGUACGGCGAGGGUCGCGCCGUCUCAACUCUUGGAGAUGUUUACAGCCUCGGCAUACUGUUGCUUGAGAUAUUCACCGGUAUGAGCCCUACUGACGACAUGUUCAAAGGCUCCUUGGACCUUCAUAAGUUCGCCGAGGCCGCUCUUCCCAACAGAGCCUUGGAGGUAGCCGACCCGGCAAUCUGGCUUCAUGAAGAAGCAAAGGGGGAAGACCCGGCCACGGUGAGAAGCAGAAGCGAGAGGUGCUUGGCUUCAGUGGUCGGGCUUGGCGUGUCCUGCUCAAAGCAGCUGCCAAGGGAGCGGACGGCGAUGCGGGAUGCUGCCGCUGAGAUGCGUGCGAUCAGAGAUGCCUUCCUGGUUCAAUGUGCAACAGAGACUUGGCCUGCAGUCGGCACCACCGGCCUUGGAAGUGCAGACAGUUGAAUGGUGGACGGAGCUACGGUCUCUUGACGCACCAAGGAGCACCGGACUAGCAACUCUGCAACUAACAGAGUGGAAAAAGCGCCCCUUAAUGAAAAGAAAAACAGCCGGUGCAAGGCUUUAUACAAAGAAUGUGACAGCCACUGCGUGUAUCCGAGAGCCUUAUCUAAUCUACCGAGGAUUGUUGUGUAUGGAUGCGUAUAGAUUAUGCACGGACUCCUCUGUCCUAAAAUAAACGCACAUCUUGCUUCUUUAGCAGUCAAACUUCUAAGUUUAACUAAAAUUUAUAAAAAAAAUGUACUACUAUUUAUAAUGUAUAAUAAAUAUCAUUAGAUUGAGCAUUGGGUAUACUUUCCUAAUACAUUUAUUUGAAGAUGCAAAUGUUGAUACUAUUUUCUAUAUUCUUAGUCAAAUUUAAAAAUAUUUGACUCAUCGAGAAGCGAGAUGUGUGUUUAUUUUGGGACGAAAGGAGUACCCGUCACCGGGAUUAGUCAAGAUAUAAGAUUAGUCAUGAUAUAAGUAGGGAUUAGCAAGCACCAAAACCCCAUUUACUGCCUAUCGAUCGCUCAAAUAAAAGAAACCAUUGCAUAUGGUGGCGAUGCGCUCGCGGGCCUUUCUCCAACCUUUCUGCUCUCGCGGGUCUUGAACUUGCACGGAACAGUUUUAGUAAAGCUGCCUCCAACUUUAGGGAGAUUGCCAAGGUUCAUUUACCUGUCCUUAAGUGGCAAUAAGUUAGGAUCGAAUGAUAAGGACGGAUUGGAAUUCAUCACCAUGCUGGCAAACUUUAGCCAGCUUCAUCAACUGGCUUUUGACAAUAAUUCAUUCAUCGGCGAACUUCCUAGCUCAAUUGCAAAUCUAUCGACAACACACCAAUUACUCUAUAUACGAUACAAUUGGAUUUCGGGAUUUAUUCCAUCCAGCAUAGGUAAUUUGCUUGGUCUAGAACUGCUUACGUUGGCAAAUACUUUCAUAUCCGGAAUGAUUGCAGAUAGCAUUGGUCGCCUAGAAGACAUGUCCGUGUUAGGCAUUUACUACGCUGACAUGUUAGGCAUUUACUACGCUAGCUUGUCAGGUAUCAUACCUUCAUCACAAGGAAAGCUUACACAGUUGAAAACUCUCUAUGCGUACGAUAGCAACUUGGAGGGUUCAUUUCCAGCAAGCUGGGGGAACUUAAAGAAUCUUUUUGUUCUUAAUCUCUCAACGAAAGUGUGUAACCCGCUAAAGUUUCAUGUCAAAGCAGAGCAUAAAUCUCUCUCAAAACUGCAAAAUUAUCAUAAAGCAGAUCAGUCUGAGGGCCAGCCUAUGCCCUAUCAACGCCUCCCUUCUUGCCCUUUUGGUAAGAUUACCCCAAACUAGAGUCUAUAAUUAAUUAGCUAAGACUAGAGCCACGUAGUUCUUGUGGUUGUACUAUUUUCCUGAGUGGUCGCUCCAUGUUCCAAUUAAGCAUGAUGAUCUUGUAUUAAUAAAAGGUAUAUCAUAAAUAAAACAAGUUUAAUCAUUGAGUUCAUUAAAACCAUCACAAUCCAAGGUAUUGCAACUAAGCAUAUCUACCUAAAAAAAAAAGGUAAAACCCAGGUUGACAAGGAAUGAUCAUAAAAACUAGGUAAACCUUAAUAGGACCCAUCAAUAUUAAAUGCAGAGCAAUGCAAAAGUGAUUAAAUAUAGUUUUUGGGAUAAAAGUAUAAGGACACACGUGCCUUUCUCCAAAGAAUAGCUGCUCAGAUUAUCUUCAGCUCUUGUUCCUCAAAGCUCUCGAACAAUGUUCCUUCUACUUGCAUCAAUCAUCGGCACAAGCAUACCAAGCAAACAACAAUCACAACUAAGAACAAUACAUCAAUCAUUGGAAAGCUUUAAAAAAUCUAAGGUCACGCGAAUGCAAGAAAUGCUGGGAACGAAACUAUGGUUGAAAAGACAAAGUUAUCGAGAGAUUUGAAUUAUAAAAGAAAGAGAAAAGCCUAUGUGCUUCAUAUAUUUUAAUAAAACAAUGUAAAGAUAUUUUAGAGAAACAUCCUUAGCAUGUUAUAGUUAUGUAUGAAAAGACAAUGUAGAACUUAGUCAAAUUUUAUUUAUAAACAUUCAAGUACAAUUUAUGCAAAUUAAAAAUUUAAUUUGAAAAUAAAGUAUAUGUAAACAUCUAAGCGCAUAGCUUUAUGAUUUAGGUUGAACUAACCAAAUAUAAAUAAAAACACAUUUAUAUUUAUAUUAAAUCAAAUUAACAUAUAAUUAUGAAAACUCAAGAUAUAACUUAUGUAGCUUUUAUUUAGAAAACAAAUUGAAUAAACAUUUUAAUUAAAGAAGACAUGUUUAACAUGCAUUAAUUAGAUUAAUAUGAAAUUUAUUUUAAAAACAUGCAUGAUGGAAAGAUCAGCACUAACGUGUAAUUUGUGUUAUCACGAACCUAACUCAACAACAACGGAUAUAAACGGAGCUGUAACGAGGAGUCUAUGGGUUAAACAAGGUUGCAGGGCCUAAUCGCGAUUAACGGAAGGUUAUUGGGGCUAGCAAGGAAGAUUUGCAAGACACUGGAUUAGUGCUCACCAUUAGGUCAAAGCAUAGGGUUAGAUAUGUUAAAGUGCUCAGGUUAGACUUGGUUGCACGGAUCCAAUCUAAUCAGGGACAUGGAUGAAAAAAAACAAGACACAAGGAAAAACUAACUAUUUGUAGAGCUUUAUAGGGGCCUAUGCGCAAAAGCACCACAGCUCAGCAUCCAUGGCGGACGGGCUCCUGGAUGGCAAAACCCUCGUGUCGGAUUUAUAAGCCUGGUAGUCCACCAAGGGAUUCCCCAAGUGGUUGAUUUGUAGGUGAGGGUGAUUGUGAAACCAAGAACUCGAAGGUGAUCGCGAGAACACGAAGGGACACGAAGGUUUUAGACAAGUUCGGACCUUCGGAGAGUAAUACCCUACGUCCUAUAUGCUGGUUUGUAUUGCUUGAGAUUGAUCUAAUUGUUGCGAUACCCUCGGGGGUGCCCUUGGCCGCCUUAUAUAGGCUGACGAUCAAGAGUUAAAAGUCGGUUUGAAUCUAAUCUACUCGGUAGUUACAUGGAAAAUAAUCUGAGUUGGACUACAAUAUGUGUUCCAUGAUAUCUGGGUAGAUUUGAACUAUCUUGUUGCCUUGACGUGCACUCCAAGUAACUUCAUGUCCUCGGCCCGCACGCCCUGAUCGGGCAGGCCCUACUUGUUAGGUCCGACCAGUAUCCUGGCCGGUCGGGGCCCAUGGGGUACCCAUAUCCCUCAAGCCCCCAAGCAUUGUGUAGGCAAACAGGAACUUGAUGUCAUCAAAGUGAAACUUGAAAUGAAAUCGGGUGAAGCUGCGAAGGCGUCAUGGCGACGGAGAGCUCAAAAAAAGAAAAUAUGAGCAAACGAAGAGCCAACGCGUAGAGCGAGGAUGAGUGCCGAGUUGAUGGAUGCUGGCAUCCAGCAGGUCGAAUCGAAGGUUACGGAGGGCGUCGCAAGACGCACUCUGUAGGAGUAGCCCCGGAGCAUUGAAACAAUUAAGAUAAUCAAUACAAUGGUCAAAGAGGAAAAAAUUGUCCCCUGAAGCAGAUCCUUGUGCCCGAACACAAGGAUGGACGCAGCCACGGAGGCCCGCCAACCAGAAGUAGGCACCCAGACUCAAGGACGAGGACUGGUGGGACUGUGGAGCCAUGCCGACCUGAAAUAGGCAUCUAACCCCUGAGGACGAGGACUAGCGGAGCCGCGGAGGCAUGCUAACCUGAAAUAGGCGCCCAGCCCCCGAGGAUGAGGACUGGCGGAGCCAUGAAGGCACGCCGACUUGAAAUAGGUGCCAAGCCCCUGAGGAUGAGGACCAGCAGAGCCACGAAGGCACUCUGACCAGAAUUAGGCGUCCAGCCCCCGGGCAUGAGUGCGAGGAUUGGCGAAAGCACAUCGAGUUGCCUCCCUUCCCGGGCUCAGGCAGAGAGGUUGGUCGGGUGACGGGAGGCACACCAAGUCAUCAAUGGUGCCCAGCCGCCGAGCCUAGGAGCCGGACGAGUUGCAGAAGCAUGGCAAGUCACCUCUCGCCCCGAGCUAGAGAGGUCGGCCGGGCGACGGGAGGCACGCCGAGUCAUCUACGGUGCCCAGCCCCCGAGCCUUGGAGCCGGUUGAGCCACAGAAGCACGCCAAGCCGCCUCCCGCCCUGAGCCAGAGAGGUCGUUUGGGCGACGAGAGGCACGCCGAGUCGUCUGCGGCGCCUAGCCCUCGAGCUUGGGAGCCAGACGAGCCACAGAAGCAUGCCAAGUCGCCUCCUGUCCCGUGCUAGAGAGGUCGGCCGGGUGAUGGGAGGCACGUCGAGUAGUUUUUGAGCUGUAAAAGAACAAUACAAUCAUUAUGUAGCAUAAUGUAGAUCAUUUAAUCAUUGAACAACUCGGAAGUUUAAUUCGCUGUAGAAGUAAACUCUUGCGCAUCCUGCUCUUGUAGGCCAAGUAAUUUCCCUGGGUAGUUAUCUUGUUACGUUUAAGCACCUAGCCCUACUGACCACUGUUCACGGAGAGGAUGGUUUAUCUUAGGCUAUAGCACUGGGGCUGACCCGAUGCUCGCAUAUAGGAACGCACAGGAUGAGUCAAGGUUUCAUGGAUUGAGGCGUGUGCUACCCGAGUACUUUAGCAACCGUUAACAGGGAUGGACAAGUCGCAAAGCAACCGGAACUGUGCGGAAAAACACCAGCAUGAGUUGGGCACCCAUGGGGUGUAGCCCCCAGCCGCCCGUGUAGUGGACGGACCAAGCUGUAUAAGCAGUUAGGGUGCGACCAAGGUGGUCGGCGAAAGUCACGGAGAUAUAGGAGAGCCGAGGCGGUCAGCGAAAGUCACGACAACAUGGAGGAGCCGAGGCUUAUGUAGGUAUAUGGAAGCUGUAAAAUAUUUUAUUGUAAAUAAUACUUAGCUUGAUUCGUGGUCGAGUCAAAGAACCCGCGUGUCAUCUUCGCGUUUAGUCUUAGAAGCCCCUGAGCGUGGUCGGCGGACAGCUAUUGGUGAAGCAAACUAGUCGAGCUCCAUGCCCAACUAAUUCGUGUCGAGUUCGAGUUGUUGGAGUUGUCAGCGGCAGGUUUGUGGUUGCGAUUGUGGUAUGCUGUUGCCAAGUCGAUGCGGCCAUCGGGUCAUGUCCGGCUGGCCGCUACGCUCACAGUACAACAUGUCUGGGUUGUGCUGCCAAACCAAGGGUGCAUGUACAUCUUUUCGAACCUCGUAAGGAAGCCCUCACGUAUUAAGGAAAUCUAUACCUAAUAUUAAAGCUCCCGCAGCGUGCGCCUAUGCCACGUGCGGUGCGGACGGGUGUGCCGGCUGCGGCUGCGAGCUCCUCACUGCGGCAGGGACCAGGUCGAGCAGCGACAGUGAUGACAAAGGGGAGUAGUCCGCGUCUGCGUGCCGUGCCACCAUCGUCGGGCAAGGUGUGGCGGUGGCGGAGGGGGAGAGUGAGUACAUCGGCGUGCAGCCGCGGCCGUGGGGCAGGUGGGCGGCGGAGAUCCGCGACCCGCACCACGCCGUGCGCAAGUGGCUCAGCACCUUUGACACAGCUAAGGAUGCCACGCGCACCUACAACAUCACCGAUGUCGAGUUUCAAGGCCACUGCACCAAGAUCAACUUCCCCGACGACACGGCCCCCGCGCCCGCACCUUCCUGGGUGCCGACCUCGACAUACCACCGCCACGACCACCUGCCGCUGCCGCUGCCCGAGAGCCUACACGAGACCUGCGGGGCGAACGCAUCCUCGUCGGUGGAUGUGGCUCUUGCGGUAGCGGCGUCGGCCGAGCAGCACGGCACGAGGCCGGUGCCGAAGGAGCAGGACAUCUGGGACAGGCUGAACGAGUUCAUGAUGAUGGAUGACGGUAGCUUUUGGUCACCCAUGCUAUGAUCGUCACAUUCUCCUCCAUUCUCCUCUUGUUUUCACUUUCGUUGCUUAGCGGAUAAUGGUGGUCAGCUGGCCUCUGGUCUGUCGUCAAUCACCAGCCAUCCAUCGCUUUUAUAUGGUUUUACACUAGCUUUUGGGCUUUGACCACGCCCUCCACACCCAUACGAAACGACUAGGUAGAGUGAUGUUGAUCUACUGCUUGCCGCGCGCUAGGGCGAGUAGCUACUCACUCGGGCUAGAUGCCCUACCCGCCACCUGGACCUAAGAGGUGAAGGAGAGGAGGGAGGGGGAAGGAAACAAGGAGACGAGUGCCUCUUUGCAGUCAACCAAGUAGAGCCAUAUGCCAGCGAAGGCAUGGCGCCAGCGAGGGGGGGGGGGCGCAGCGGCAGUCGGCAGGCAACACAAAUAGGGGGCGGAGGUCGGGACCUCACAUCCCCCGCUCAAUGAUGUCCAUCCCCUUCAGAUCCAGAACUAAAGCCUCCACAUCUAGCAAUUGGGGGCUCGAUUUUGCACUUGAUUGGAACGAUUUGGAGUGGAUUAUAGAAGGGAAGUGGAUGGAAACGAGAAGAAGAGGAAAACACAUUCCUGCUCAUGGUGGCCAGAGGCGCGGUGGCCUAGCGCUCGAAGCAGGAAUGAGGCUAGGCACGGGAAGGACGAACGUUUGCCUGGGCGACGGUGAGGAUGGCAAGAUGCGUAGCGCCUGGACGAUGGCGAAGAUAGGGCACGAUGCGGGUGGCGCCGACGGACGAAGUGGCAUCGACUAGCUAGAUGACGAUGAGUACGGGGGAAAUCGAAUGAAUGGAUAGAGCGGAGGUUGAGUGGUGAUUUUUUUUAUUUCCAUGUGUGGGUCCCAUGUAAUAAACAGAUGGCAUCAAACCACCCACAAAUAUCUUCUACUACUGUACUAGGAUAACGCAUCAACAUAUGGUGAAGUGAAAUCAACAUAUUAGGAACAAGCGAAUAAUAAAGUGAGAGUAAGUAAGGACUUGAGCAACGUACAUGUAUUUCUGCUAGUAAGGAAAAAAAUUGUUAGCUGCCGUAGUAAGCACCAAGCAACGUAGGAGAUCUACUGGAUGGAAUAGAUUAAAUAAUAAAGGGAAGGGAGAAUUGUUCCUUCUUUUUGGCAGAUCCGACGUGUCUGCAUGCAACAAGUUAAGGUCAACGUGUUGUGCUAAAUCAACCGGAUCAGACCGGGGCCGGAUCAGGCGAGCUUGGCUGUGGCCGGGAUGAGGCCAAUAAGGGCGUCGCCCUUGACCUUGGCCUCCUGCGCCUCGCGGAUCUUCUACAUCUGGAGCAUCUGCUCCAUGAUGAGCUCGUACUGGCACUUCUUGUAGGCGUGGCGCUCGGGCUCGCACUUCCAGCGGAGGUAGAACUCGGAGGUGCACGCACUGGUCGUGGUAGGCGAGCGGCACCCAGGCCUCCGCCAUCUCCACCUGCGUGACGAUCUGGGGCUUCGAGGAGCCGAACUGAAUGCCGGCCAUUGCCGCCGCCUCCAUUUGUCACUUUGUUGCCCUCUCUCUUGCCGGCGAGGUCGUUCCGUUGAUAGAUGGGUGCUGCGGGUUUGGUGCGGCGUGGGUGGGUGGGGUGCAUCAAGGACGUGAGGAACCCUCUCGGAGAGAGAGAUUGCUGACCUACUAGGUAAACGGUGUGAUGAUCCUUUGAUAUAGACCUUGCUCCGCCGGAGUAAAUUCGACAGAUGCCAAGCUGGCGGCGGGCAUUGAGUCGAAGUCCACUAGCAUGCUCCUGAAGUGGAGCUGGAUCGGAUUGGUGAGGAAGUCCUUCAUGCUCUUGGGGAAAACAAUGUCGGGGCGGGAUGCCAUCGAGCUCGCUAGGGAGGAUCUUACAAUCAUCCCUACCUAGCGCACCAACUGUUGGAUUUAUAAGCCCGGUAGUCCACCAGGGGGUUACCCAAGUAGUUGAUUUGUAGGUGAGGGCAAUUGCAAAAUCAAGAACUCGAAGGUGAUCGCGAAAACACGAAGGGACACGAAGGUUUUAGAUAGGUUCGGGCCUCCGGAGAGUAAUACCCUAUGUCCUGUAUGCUGAUUUGUAUUGCUUGAGAUUGAUAUGAUUGUUGGGAUACCCUCGGGGGUGCCCUUGGCCGCUUUAUAUAGGCUGACGACCAAGAGUUACAAGUCGGUUUGAAUCUAAUCUACUCGGUAGUUACAUGGAAAGUAAUAUGAGUCAGACUACAAUACGCGUUCCAUGAUAUCCAGGCAUAUUUGAAUUGUCUUGUUGCUUUGACGUGCACUCCAAGUAACUUUAUGUCCUCGAUCCGCACGCCUUGGUCAGGUGGGCCCUACUUGUCAGGUCUGACCAGUAUCUUGAGGUACCCAUAUCUCUCACCUUGGUGCUCCGGCGAUUAGGGUCAGUGGCGAGGAUGGGGAUUGGAAGAGGAGAUCGAGGGGACUUUAUGGAGAUGCUCACCGGCGACGAGGCGGACAGAUUCUGGCAAGUAUUUGGCUGGCGGUGGAAGAACACGACAGCUGGCUCAAGUCUUCGUGAGUGAUGGUACUCCAGCGGUGGAGCGACGACGACGACUGGUGGCAGAGCUGCUCCUCGAUGUCACGGAGCUCCCUAAGGCUCUAGCUUGCUCCGAUGGUCGACGGGCACAACGAAUCGGCCAGAGAAGGACAUCAGUGGCUCCUAGCUCUGGCGGAUGUGGGGGAUGGCAGCGCUCGUGCAAGCUAGGAAGAGCGGCGGUGUGAGGCAGGGCAAUAGCAGGGGCACGAUCUCAACUUUUAUAUGUACGUGGGUCCGCGCCUGCCUUGGCACGCAUGCCGAGGUUCGGCGGUGGCGAUGCCCAAGUGCAGCUACGCUUGGCCUCGACCCGCUGGUGGUCGAUAUGCCUAGCGGGCCUAGCCGAGCCAUCAACUGGGCCGGGUCAGUGCAGGUUAGUUUGAGAGGGUCGGGCCCCAAAGACUUGGCCCCAUCGAUUAAGAUUUUUCUUUUUUUCAGAAAUGAUUUCUCGUGAAAGAAAAAUCCAGAAAAAUUCUAGAUAAUUAAUUUAAACAAUGAAAAAACUCUAAAAAUCCAAAAAUUUCAGGAAAAGUCAUCUCUAGUUUGGGACAUGAGGAGUCCAAAUAAAAUACUUGGAGCUCGUGAAAAGGAUUCUAGAACCUUCCAAAAAUUGGAUUUAGCUUUAGAAAAAAAUGAGAAUAAAUCUUAGAAAAAUCUGAAAAUUCUCAUAAGAACCUAAUCAGCAUCUAAACGCAUUCCAAAACUUUUGCACUUAUGAAAUACCAAGAUGCAUUGGUGUGAAUGCAACCCAUACACAAUCAUUAUAUUUAAUUCAGAAAAACACUCAAUUAUUUUCCUAUACUAAAUUUCCUGUCAAGAAAAUAAAUGUUGAAAUUUUUUUAAAAUUGUGAAAAAAUUAUUGUUUAAUUAUUCUUUUUAAUCACAUCCUGAAAUUUCAAAAUUUUUAAGGUGAGGCAGAUACCCUCAGGUUUACAGAAUUUGACAUCCAUGUGCAAAUUGGAUCUAUCCUUCCAUGAUCUGCAAGGUGAAGUGCCAAAAGUUUUUUUUUGGCAAAUGCAACUUACAUGUCGAUUUAUGGAAAUGAUCAGCUUUGUGGUGGAAAUACCUCAACUUCAUUUAGCUCCAUGCUCCAUGUCCAGUGCAAAAAAGAAAAAAAAGGAAAUUUGUCGAAAACCCUUGUGAUCACCCUAACAUCAAUCAGUGCAGUUGUAUUCUCAGUUUCAGUACUUACUGUAAUUGUGUUGAUCUGUAAGAAGCUUAGGAAAAGGCACGAAAGUCAACUCAUAUCCACAACUGAGGAACUGUAUGAAAGAGUUUCUUAUCAUGCUUUGUCAAAUGGGACCAAUGGAUUUUGAGAGGACAAUUUACUUGGACAAGGAAGCUAUGGCAUGGUUUAUAAAUGUACUUUACAUGACCAGGGCACUACAGUAGGCUACUGUAAAGGUGUUUAACACACAACAAUCUGGGACUUCUAGAAGUUUUGUCGCUGAAUGCGAGGCACUCAGAAGGGUGCGUCCUCGUUGUCUCGUAAAGAUCAUCACUUGUUGCUCAAGCAUCAAUCACCAGGGUCAAGAGUUCAAGGCACUAGUUUUUGAGCUCAUGCCAAAUGGUAGCCUAAAUGGUUGGCUUCACCCAGAGUCUGACACACUUACCCCGACAAAUAAUCUUAGCCUUGAACAAAGGCUACACAUUGCUGUCGAUAUCCUGGAUGCUUUGGACUAUCUUCAUAAUCACUGUCAGCCAUCAAUCAUUCAUUGCGACUCAAGCCAAGCAACAUCUUUCUUGCGGAGGACAUGAGUGAGUGCCCGAGUUGGAGGUUUUGGCAUACGAAGAAUCCUUCCAGAAAGUGCUAGUAAAACCCUGCAAAAUUUGAAUAGCACAACUGGAAUAAGAGGCAUCAUUGGUUAUGUUGCACCAGGUAAUGAAAGAGAUAUUUUUGGUAUUUGUAAAAUAUUCUUAGUUCUUACGUAUACAUGACCUGCUGACCUUUGGUUUUUUUCCCCAAUCAGAGUACGGUGAAGGUUCUUCUGUCUCAACUCAAGGUGAUGUUUAUAGCCUCGGCAUAUUGCUGCUUGAGAUGUUUACUGGAAGAAACCCAACAGAUGAGAUAUUCAAUGAUUCUUUGGAUUUGCACAAGUUUUCAGAGAAUGCUCUUCCAGAGAGAAUAUGGGAUAUAGUUGAUCCGACAAUACGGAUGCACACAGAUGCCUAUAACAGCACUAUAAGAAGUGGAAUUAAGAAUUGCUUGGUUUCUGUUGUUUCUCUUGGAAUAUCAUGCUCGGAGAAACAACCUAGGGAGCGGAUCCCGAUUCUGGAUGCAGCCAUUGAGAUGCACGCUAUUAGAGAUUCGUAUCUCAAGUUUGCCAGAUCUCUUUUGGUGGAGCAUGGAGUAGUAGCAACAACUCACAGUGAUUUUCCACAACAGUGAAUACAUAGGACUGAAAAUGCGCAAGAUGUCUGCAGGUGAUCAGUUUACCUGAAAUAACUGAAGAUGUAUGAAGCUUCAGCUUUAUAAUUUGUCCAUGCAUUUGUUUGCAUCAGAUAUAUGGAAGUAUAAAAUAAGUUUAGAAAAUGUUUCAAAAUAGAUUAGAUCCAGAGGUUUUAGUUGUUGUUUGUAUGACACAUUUUUGUAGAGAAUUCAGUAAUAUGUAUGAUUCAUAAUACAAUCAAUGCUCUGCAAAUUUCAGAUAGCACAAUUGGAAUAAAAAGCUCAUUCCUUGAUUAUGUUGCUCUAGGUAACUCAACUUAUUGUGGCCGGUUAUACAUGGUCUGGAAUGGGCAUCCGCUGAUGGAUUGAAACCUUGAACUGCUUCCGUGUGUUUUUUGUCAUCUAUAUAUUAUGGUUAGUCAACGGCAUGCAGUACACCCAUGCAUAUGAUUGCAGUAGGAUGACAUGGCGCGACCAGAACCCUUCUUUUGCCAGUUUUAGAUUCUUAUACACGGCCAACUGACGCAGCAGGGAGUUGCAUGCUAAGCAGUUCAGCGUAGGUGGUGAGUUCUCAACUCUGAUAUGGCUUAUGGAAGAACACUGUCACGGUGUCACCUAGCCGGUUGGAGGCCAACCUCUUACUAGGGACAGCAAUGGCCCUGUCCGGCCACUGUUUCGUGGCUGGUAUUAUUACCCCUAUGCAGUGAAUAUGACAUGUGGAUCUAUGUGUAUAUUAUGUCGUCAAAAGAACAUUAUAUGAACCGUUGAUCCACCUUUGAUUCUAUUAAUGUGUCAUGGUCAAUUGAUGUCAAACUCUAUUAUCUUCAAGUCUUAUUGUAUUGAUAAAAUCACGAUGCUGCUACUGCCAUUUUGAUGUUUAUAAAAGGGUAUUGAGAACCUGGUGGGUAUCCAUUCGAUGCGCAGGGUUGGGGGUGGGGAAAAAUGAGUGUAAAGGACAGGGAUGCAGUAUUUAGAAAGAAGGAAGCAAAAAAGGAAGCAUACCUCAAUCUCUGAAGAACAUAAAAGGUCUUGCAUUACUUAACCUAACAAUGAAUAAGCUAUCUGGUAGUAUUCCUGAUGCCCUUGCUAGCAUUGGCAACCUGCAACAACUGUAUCUAGCACACAACAACUUGUCAGGUUCCAUCCCCAAAGUUCUACAGAAUUUGACAUUGUUGGCAAAACUGGAUUUGUCCUUCAAUGAUCUGCAAGGCGAAGUGCCAAAAGGGGGUCCUUUUGCAAAUGCAACUCACUUGUCAAUUGAUGGAAAUGAUGAGCUUUGUGGCGGAAACCCUCAACUUCAGUUAGCUCCGUGCUCCACAGCUGCUGCGGGGAAGAACCGAAGGCGAAUGUCCAGAUCACUUAUGGUCACCGUAGCGUCAAUCUGUGCACUUCUAUUCUUAGGUUUAGUAGUUUUUCUUAUCCAUUUGAUCCACAAGAGGCUCAGACAAGGAAAGGAAAAUCAACUCAUUCCCACAGCAAUUGAUGAACAGCACGAAAGGGUUUCAUAUCAAGCAUUAGCAAAUGGGACUAACCAUUUUUCGGAGGUUAAUCUGCUCGGACAAGGAAGCUAUGGUGCAGUUUAUAAGUGCACUUUACAAGACAAGGGAAUUACCGCAGCUGUAAAGGUAUUCAAUGUGUGGCAAUCUGGGUCUACUAGAAGUUUUGUGGCUGAAUGUGAGGCACUGCGAAGGGUGCGCCACCGAUGUCUCAUAAAGAUCAUCACCUGUUGCUUAAGCAUUGAUCACCAAGGCCAAGAAUUCAAGGCACUGGUUUUUGAGUUCAUGCCCAAUGGUAACCUAAAUGGUUGGCUGCAUCCAGCAUCCAAAAUACAGAGUCUGAGCAAUACGCUCAGCUUAGCUCAGAGACUGGACAUUGCGGUAGAUAUCAUGGAUGCUCUGGAUUAUCUUCACAAUCAGUGUCAACCGCCUAUUAUCCAUUGUGAUCUCAAACCAAGUAACAUCCUCCUUGCCGAAGAUAUGAGUGCUCGGGUUGGAGAUUUUGGCAUAUCAAAAAUCCUUCCUGAUGACACUAGCAAAACUCUGCUGAAUUCAGUUAGCUUCACUGGACUAAGAGGUUCCAUUGGAUAUGUCGCUCCAGGUAACAGAAACUAACACUAUUAUUGCUAUGUUUAGUUUUUAACUUCCAUUUUGCCAAGUCCAGUUAUCUCGGCAUGCACGUUGAUAAGUAGCUUGCCAUGAAUCCACUGACCAAAUAGUGUCUGAAAUCUGAAUUGACUGCAGAGUACGGCGAGGGUCGCGCUGUCUCAACUCUUGGAGAUGUUUACAGCCUCGGCAUACUGUUGCUUGAGAUGUUCACCGGGGUGAGCCCUACUGACGACAUGUUCAAAGACUCCUUGGACCUUCAUAAGUUCGCCGAGGCCGCUCUCCCCGACAGAGCCUUGGAGGUAGCCGACCCGGCAAUCUGGCUUCAUGAAGAAGCAAAGGGGAAAGACCCUGCCACGGUGAGAAGCAGAAGCGAGGUGUGCUUGGCUUCAGUGAUCGGGCUUGGCGUGUCCUGCUCAAAGCAGCUGCCAAGGGAGCGGACGGCGAUGCGGGAUGCUGCCGCUGAGAUGCGUGCGAUCAGAGAUGCCUUCCUGGUUCAAUGUGCAACAGAGACUUGGCCUGCAGUCGGCACCACCGGCCUUGGAAGUGCAGACAGUUGAAUGGUGGACGGAGCUACGGUCUCUUGACGCACCAAGGAGCACCGGACUAGCAACUCUGCACCUAACAGAGUGGAGAAAGCGCCCCUUAAUGAAAAGAAAAACAGCCGGUGCAAGGCUUUAUACAAAGAAUGUGACAGCCACUGCGUGUAUCCGAGAGCCUUAUCUAAUCUACCGAGGAUUGUUGUGUAUGGAUGCGUAUAGAUUAUGCACGGACUCCUCUGUCCCAAAAUAAACGCACAUCUUGCUUCUUGAGGAGUCAAACUUCUAAGUUUGACUAAAAUUUAUAAAAAAAAUGUACUACUAUUUAUAAUGCAUAAUAAAUAUCAUUAGAUUGAGCAUUGGGUAUACUUUCCUAAUACAUUUAUUUGAAGAUGCAAAUAUUGUUACUAUUUUCUAUAUUCUUAGUCAAACUUAAAAAUCCGUCAUGAGGAUUAGUCACUAUAUAAGUAGGGACUAGCAAGCAUCAAAACCCCAUUCACUGCCCAUCGAUCGCUCAAAUAAAAGAAACCAUUGCAUAUGGUGGCGAUGCGCUCGCGGGCCUUUCUCCAACCUUUCUGCUCUCGCGGGCCUUGAACUCGCAUGGAACAGUUUUAGUGAAAGCGUGCCUCCAGCUUUGGGAAGAUUGCGAAGCCUUAUUUACCCGUCCUUAAGUGGCAAUAAGUUAGGAUCGAAUGAUAAGGACGGAUUGGAAUCCAUCACCAUGCUAGCAAACUGCAGCCAGCUUCAGCAACUGGCUUUUGAUAAUAAUUCAUUCAUCGGUGAACUUCCUAGCUCAAUAGCAAAUCUAUCGACAACACACCAAUUACUCUAUAUAGGAAACAAUUGGAUUUCGGGAUUUAUUCCAUCCAGCAUAGGUAAUUUGCUUGGUCUAGAACUGCUUACGUUGGCAAAUACUUUCAUAUCUGGAGUGAUUCCAGAUAGCAUUGGUCGCAUAGAAGACAUGUCCGUGUUAGGCAUUUACUACGCUAGCUUGUCAGGCAUCGUACCUUCAUCACAAGGAAACCUUACACAAUUGAAAACUGUCUAUGCAUACGAUAGCAACUUGGAGGGUCCAAUUCCAGCAAGCUUGGGGAACUUAAAGAAUCUUUUUGUUCUUGAUCUCUCAACGAAAGUGUGUAAUCUGUUAAGAUUUCAUGUUGAAGCAGAGCAUAAACCUAUCUCAAGAUUGCGAAGCUACCAUAGAGCAGAUCAGUCUGAGGGCUGGGCUAUGCCCUAUCAACACCUCCCUUCUUGCCCUUUCGGUAAGAUUACCCCAAACUAGAGUCUGUAAUUAAUUAGCCAAGACUAGAACCACAUAGUUCUUGUGGUUGUACUGUUUUCCUGGGUGACCACUCCAUGUUCCAAUUAAGCAUGAUGAUCUUGUAUUAAUAAAAGGUAUAUCAUAAAUAAAACAAGUCUAAUCAUUGAGUUCAUUAAAACCAUCACAACCCAAGUUAUUGCAACUAUGCAUAUCUACCCAAAAAAGGGUAAAACCCAGGUUGACAAACCCAGGCUGAGAAGAAAUGAUCAUAAAAACUAGGUAAACCUUAAUAGGGUCCAUCAAUUUUAAAUGAAGAGCAAUGCAAAAGUGAUUAAAUAUAGUUAUUGGGACAAAAGCACAUGGACACAUUUGCCUUUCUCCAAAGAAUAGCUGCUCAAAUUAUCUUCAGCUCUUGUUCCUCAAAGCUCUCGAACAACGUUCCUUAUACUCGCAUCAAUCAUCGGCAUAAGCAUACAAAGCAAACAACAAUCACAACUAAGAACAAUACAUCAAUCAUAGGAAAGCUUUAAAAGAGCGCACUAAAGGAUAAGGCUCAAAUCUGAAAUGCUGGGAACAAAACUAUGGUUGAAAUGACAAAGCUAUCGAGAGAUUUGAAUUAUAAAAGAAAGAGAAAAGCCUAUGCGCUUCAUAUAUUUUAAUAAAGAAAAUAAUGUAAAGAUAUUUUAGAGAAAUAUCCUUAGCAAGUUAUAUUUAUAUAUGAAAAGAUAAUGUAGAACUUAGUCAAAUUUUAUUUAUAAACAUUCAAGUACAAUUUAUGCAAAUUAAAAAUUUAAUUUGAAAAUAAAGUAUAUGUAAACAUCUAAGCGCAUAGCUUCAUGAUUCGGGUUGAACUAACCAAAUAUAAUUCAAAAACAUAUUUAUAUUUAUAUUAAGUAAAAUUAACAUAUAAUUAUGAAAACUCGAGAUAUAACUUAUGUAGCUUUUAUUUAGAAAACAAAUUGAAUAAACAUUAAUCAAUUUAAGUUUAAUUAUGAACCACCGUGGUGCAUCUCUAAUUCACUUUUAAUUGAAAGAGUUAUUUAAAUAAGCAUUAACUAAAUUAAUAUUUAUUAUGAAAAGUGGUUAUAACACUAAGUAGCUUUUAAUUAAAGAAGACAUGUUUAACAUGCAUUAAUUAGAUUAAUAUUAAAUUUAUUUUAAAAACAUGCAUGAUGGAAAGAUCAGUACUAACAUGUAAUUUGUGUUAUCACGAACCUAACUCAACAAGAACGGAUAUAAACGGAGCUGUCACGAGGAGUCUAUGGGUUAAAAAAGGUUGCAGGGCCUAAUCGUGAUUAACGGAAGGUUGUUGGGGCUAGCAAGGAAGAUUUGCAAGACACUGGAAUAGAGCUCGUUAUUAGGUCAAAGCAUAGGGUUAGAUCUGUUAAAGUGCUUAGGUUGGACUUGGUUGCACGGAUCCAAUCUAAUCAGGAACAUGGAUGAAAAAAACAAGACACAAGGAAAAACUAACUAUAUAUAGAGCUUUCUAGGGGCCUAUGCGCAAAAGCACCAUAGCUCAGCAUCCAUGGUGGACGGACUCCUUGACGGCAAAAUCCUCGUGCCGGAUUUUAUAAGCCUGGUAGUCCACCAAGGGGUUUCCCAAGUGGUUGAUUUGUAGGUGAGGGUGAUUGUGAAACCAAGAACUCGAAGGUGAUUGCGAGAACACGAAGGGACACAAAGGUUUUAGACAUGUUCGGGUCUCCGAAGAGUAAUACCCUACGUCCUAUAUGCUGGUUUGUAUUGCUUGAGAUUGAUCUGAUUAUUGCGAUACCCUCGGGGGUGCCCUUGGCCACCUUAUAUAGGUUGACGACCAAGAGUUAAAAGUCGGUUUGAAUCUAAUCUACUCGGUAGUUACAUGGAAAGUAAUCUGAGUUGGACUACAAUACGCGUUCCAUGAUAUCCGAGCAGAUUUGAACUGUCUUGUUGCCUUGACUUGCACUCCAAGUAACUUUAUGUCCUCAGCCCACACGCCCUGGUCGAGCGGGCCCUAUUUGUCAGGUUCGGCCAGUAUCCUGGUCGGCCGGGGCCCAUGGGGUACCCAUAUCCCUCAAGCCCCCGAGCGUUGUGUAGGCAAACAGAAACUUGAGGUCACCAAAACGAAACUUGAAAUGAAGUCAGCUGAAGCUGUGAAGGCGUCAUUGUGACGGAGAGGCUGCGCAGUGCUUAAAAGAAGGAAAUCUGAGCAAACGUAGAGCCAACGCGUAGAGCGAAGACGAGUGCCGAGUUGAUGGAUGCUGGCAUCUAGUAGGUCAGAGCGAAGGUUACGGAGGGUGUCGCAAGACAUACUCCGUAGGAGUAGCCCCCGAGCAUUGAAACGAUUAAGAUAAUUGGUACAUUGGUCAAAGUACAAAAAAUUAUCCCCUGAUGUAGAUCCUAGUGCUCGAACACAAGGAUGGGUGCAGCCAUGGAGGCCCGCCCACCAGAAGUAGGCACCCAGAUCCAAGGACGAGGACUGGCAGGACCGCGUAGCCACGCUGACCUGAAAUAGGCAUCCAACCCCCGAGGACGAGGACUAGCGGAGGCGCGGAGGCAUGCCGACCUGAAGUAGGCGCCCAGCCCCCGAGGAUGAGGACUGGCGGAGCCAUGAAGGCACGCCGACUUGAAAUAGGCGCCAAGUGUAACAACUCUACCUAAAUUAAGUGCUUUUAAAUAUAAACCAGUGGCUAAUCACUAAGUUAAAGAAGUAAAAUGACCAUUUUAACCCUAAGAAGCUCUUUUUGGAGUUUGAAAUAAAACUUGGAAUUUUAUAUGCAAACUUAAAAUUUUGCCCAGAUAAGAGUUGUAAAACUUUCAAUUUCAAACAACUUUUGUUAAAGGAACUUUGACUAAUUCGGAGUGGGAGGAAGUUAAAAACAGCAAUCAAAACCAGAGUACUAAUGAACCCUAUAAACCUCCAAAGUCCUUGUUUUCAAAUUUUCCCUCCAACUUUGCAAGCCUUUAUCUCACGAUUUCUUAUCUAAACUCAAGUCAGGCUCUUAAUAAAAGUUGUAGUCCCUCGAGUGUGUUCCAACUUUGUUACACUGACCCAGGUCAAAAUCGGGCCAUAACCUAUUCAAAAUAUUGGUCAAAGUGAGGUAAAACAGUCAACUCAUCCCCUGAGCCCCACAACGCUAAGUCUGAAAAACUGCUCAGAGUGCACCUCUUGGCGAGGGCGUUCCUCCAAAUUGUUGAACUAAACUCAAGAAAUACCCUAAAUAAAAGUUGAAGUCCUCAGUUUGGAGAGCAACUCCUUCAAUAACACUUUGGUCUAAUUCAACUUGGAAGCUGCCCUAAAUUCAACUCAAACAUAGCUAAGUUCCUGAAAUUCCACCUCUCCGCCCAAAAUUGGCUGAGUCUGGAUUUCCAGAUUUUUAGCAAAUUUUGGCACGAGAUAUCUUCAAAUCCUUUCACAAUCUAAACCAGCGCCUUAAACCAAGUUUGAACUACGUCCAGAGUUGAACAUGUUUGUUUAAAGGAGUUUUGGAAGUUGUGUUGCAAGCUCUUAAGUUAGGAUCUCCCAAAGCCGGUCGGGCUUGCUACUUGAAGGGGGCCUCGACGCCCGCGCGCCAGAGCACGUUCGCCCGCACGCCACGCGCCGCGUGGCCACCGGCCACCGGCAGCUCGCCGGCGCCCUAUCACCGGCGAGACAACGACAGGGCGAGGGCCACGGCGCCCAACCCGCGCCUGCGACAGGACGGGGCGAACGCCGGGCUGGCCAACUGCCGGCCGCGCGCAUGUCCUUUUCCCCCUGCCGCGGCUCUGCUCCGCCAAUCGCGCUCCGCCCGUCUGCCGGAGAAGCCGCCACACCAACGACGUCCCGCGCCUCCGCCCGCUCGCCCAACCCCCACGGUAGCCCUCCGCUUCGCCCGCCCGACAGACCGGAAGCCUCAGACACGCAUCGCCCAAGGCCAAUCCCCGCCGGAGACCACCCGGAGCUCCGCCUCCUCGACCCAAUGGCGCCACUGGCCAAUGGCCGCCUCGCCCGCGCACCCGCCGCACCCAGCCUUAUCCUUCCUCCACCGGAGCCCCGCCUCGACCCUCCGCUCCAUCGCUGCCAUAUAAAAAGGUCCCCCUCACCGGCAACGCCACCCUUUGCCACCGCCCACAAUCGCGCCACCGCUUCCUCCUCUACGCCACCGCUAAGCUUCCGUGGAGCUCACCCCUCCGUGCCACCCCGCACUCCGGCGACUUCACCGCCCGCUUCGCCACCCCUCCGCGCAGUCUCCGAGCAGCUCGUGGCCUCCCUGACGUCGCCGGUGCGCCGGAACGCCGCCUGCAUCGACGCCAGCCAAGCUCUAUCGCCGCCGCCGCGUUCCGAUCCCCGCCAGCCAUCUUUGUCGCCCCAACCCCACCAAACCGAGCUUAGGUGAGCCCCCGCACCCCUCCGGCCACUUGUUGCCCCAUCCUCGCCGGCGAACCGCCGGGGAUUUCCUCGCCGCCGCCGCGCGCACCCAGGGGACCACAUUGCAUCGUCCCUGUUCUUUCCAGGGGCCUGGGCGCAAAACUCAGGGACCCCUGCGUAGUUAAACCUUAAACCCAGGGGCUAGCUUGCAAGUUUGCCACGGCUUUUCUUUUAAAUAAUAGGCAGAAAUAUGGUUGAACUUUGUAAAUGCCCAGUAAAUCGUAGAAAAAUCAUAAAAAUGCCAAACCACUUUUGAUAGGAUCCUUGCUCUGUCUAGUUCCUAAGAAAAAUAAGUUUGCUCAUGUUACUAUUGUAAAUAAUAUCCUAUGCUUUUAAUCAUGUUGUAGGCCUUUUAAAUCCUAAUAAAUAGAAGAAAAGUGGGAAAAAUGUGGAACCAACUCUAUGAUGCUUGUUUCUAUGUGUAGAAGCUCAGAAAAAUGGUUAGGGCUCUGGUCUAGCACUUUAAGUCACUGUUUUGACUUUAAAUUGGGAAUCUGAAUAUAAAUCUUCCUUUUUGCAUAAGUUUGGAUGUAGAGCUCAGAAAAAUGUGAAACUAGUUGGGUUAAUUUUGUUUUGCUGUGAAGUUUGCAGGAAAAAUAUAAAUUGUUGUGAAAAAUAGAAAUAAAAACACCUUCCUUGCUAAGCAUGUUUAAUUAAGAAAAGAAAUAGAGUUAAUAGUAACCUUCUCCAAAAAUUAUGAAAAAUUCACCAAAGCUCCUAUAACAUACCCUUAACACACUGGUUAAGUUUCACCCUCUGUUGCACAGUAACUUUGAAGAUGGAAAAAGUUAAGCUCAGUUUACCUUUAAUAAUAAAAUGCAUGUAACUUCUUUUUAAGUCAUCCUUUGGCUCGCAAACUUUUACAGUAACCUAGUGAUGGCUUAAGUGAGGUGCUGUAAUUUUAUCAAUGCCUUUAACUACUGUUUGGAUAUGAAGUCAUUUUGGUUAAUUAAUCAACCUAAAGGAAUAAAAUGAGAGCGCAAAUUCUAAUACGAUUAAUAAGUGGACACUGAAAGAGGUACAUAAAUACAUUCAGAAGUAAGUAAUUAUUCCAAUGCACCCAAACCACCCAACACGACCUUUCACACUCUUUAUGCAACUCUAAAUGCAAUAAAGCUAUAUAUGUACACAAUCGCCAUUCAACGCGAACUCAAGUUUAAAACAACCACUUUUGUUUGAAGUUAAAAGAAAGUAAACCUCGCCAAAGUGUUUGUGGCCGUUGUGACUCUUGUCUUAAGCCAUGCCUUGUGUCGUUGAAUAAACGCGCGAGUCCAACUAAAUUUUUGCAUGUGCAUGUCGUAUAGAAGCAAAUAUCGCCGACGGAACCUACGAGCUCAACUCGGCACCGGAGGAAGACCCCGCUGUGGAGCUUCACCACUUGGAAGGCGAGCCCGGACUGGAGCAAGAUCCCGAGGACCCGCUAACUUUUCUUGAAGGCAAGCCCCGGAGCAUAAAUUCCUAUCUUUGAAUACUUGCAAUAUUAUUGAACACUUUGAUUGCGCAUUUACGUUUCUAGGAGUUGUACUGAAACCUUAGAUGCAUGAACUUAGUACCUUGUUUGAAUACUAGUUGCUAAAGUCGAGUAGUUGCAAUGCUUAAUAGGUUCCGUUAAAAGUCGAGUGAUUUCCAGUCACUCGCGAGUUAUAGGAGUUGAAUGUUUACUUAUGUUGCAACUAUAAGGACGACGGAUGGGGUCGGGCUUAUGUUCGAUACUUGGUGGUUUUCCCCGUUUGUCUAAAGGAAAUUGAUCUAAGGUCGAAACGUGUCGGCGUUCGUGAUCAAGUGUUUGAAAGUACUAAUCUCAUACCUAGUAUGGGAUGGGGAAGCCUAGUACCUGAUUGAACUGGGGUGUGGCAUACUCCCCCGGUUAUCCUUGGAACGUCGUUCCCAUGGUGCAUCAUGUGGGUGCAAGUGCGGUCGUAGUACGGCAGAGGCCGGGAUUAUGGAGCAUUGCAUGCCAAAGGUAGUUGGCCCUGACACGUGCCUAAGGGAUCGAUGGGGAUGGCUAACAAAUGAAGCAACCCUUCAUGGUGCGUGGAUGUUGUGAGAUUAGGUUCGCCAUGCAUGGUUAAUAAAUUCGAAUCGAUUCGUCUGCCUCUCAUAGUUUGGGACUACUUGAUCGCUAUUCUGCACUGAGUAACGAUGAAACAUGAUUACGAGAUUAAGUUGAUGCUUGUUAUUUAACUGCUUGGAAAUCAUGCUUGUUUAGCAUAAGUUGCUAAUCUAGAAUGGUUAAAGAACGUAGAACUGGAGCUAAAAUAUUGAAAGUAAGGACCGAUUGUAGACGCUUGUGGCAAAGAAAUCCCAGAGCCAGAAAGCCUUGCAUGUCUAGGUCUUGGUAAAGCUUUUCACUCGACGGGUCAGUCUUGCUGAGUAUUAGUUGCUCAGCCUUGUUGUGGCUUAAUCUUUUCAAGUGAUGUCAAUAGUUUGGUUGCGGGCACCACUUGGCCUACCCAGCUCCCUCCGGGCUGGACAGUCGAGUGGGAUCCCUCCUCGGACGGCGAGGGAAGGGAUUUUUGAUGUCAUGAUCGGCUCCGUCGUGAUGUCAUGUAUCGACGUUUAGCUUCCGCUUGUUUUAUCCGACUUUUCGAACCUUGCAACUUGUUUGAAUUUUCAGAAACUCUGAUGUAAUAAUUUGUGAGACUAAGUAAUGUGAUGGAAUGUUGCAAUCUCUGUGCUACUCACCUUCGUGUGAGCGAUGCUUCUCAAUCCUGUUUAGGUGGUUCAUCGGAUGAAAUCCGACGGUCGACCAGGUUAACUUGCUUAAAGUGCAUAAUCACGUGUCAGGCGACUUCAAUGCAUUUUAGUCAGGUUAAUUUGGGUGGUUCCGCCACAGCUGGCAUCAGAGCUCGAGGACCGGCAAAGCCACGAACGCACACUGACCAGAGUUAGGCGUCCAGCCCCCGAGCAUGAGCACGAGGACUGGUGGAAGCACGUCGAGUUGCCUCCCGCCCUGAGCCGAGGCAGAGAGGUUGGCUGGGCGAUGGGAGGCACGCGGAGUCAUCUACGGCACCUAGCCACCGAGCCUGGGAGCCAGACGAGUUGCAGAAGCAUGCCAAGUUGCCUCUCGCCCCGAGCUAGCAAGGUUGGCCGGGCGAUGGGAGGCACGCCGAGUCAUCUGCGGUGCCCAGCCCCCGAGCCUUUGAGCCGGCCGAGCCACAGAAGCACGCCAAGCCGCCUCCCGCCCCGAGUUAGAGAGGUCAGCCGGGCGAUGGGAGGCACGCCGAGUUGUCUGCGGCACCCAGCCCCCGAGCCUAGGAGCUGGACGAGCCACAAAAGCAUGCCAAGUCGCUUCCUGUCCCGAGCUAGAGAGGUCGGCCGGGUGACGGGAGGCACGCCGAGUAGUUUUUUGAGCUGUAAAAGGACAAUACAAUUAUUAUGUAGCAUAAUGUAGAUUAUUUAAUCAUUGAACAACUCGAAAGUUUAAUACGCUGUAGAAGUAAACUCUUGCUCAUCCUGCUCUUGUAGGCCAAGUAAAUUCCCCAGGUAGUUAGCUUAUUACGUUCAAGCACCUAGCCCUACUAACCACUGCUCAUGGAGAGGACAGUUUAUCUCAGGCUAUAGCGCUGGGGCUGACCUACUGCACGCCACCCACCACCGCCAUCUGCCACUUUGUUCCCCUCUCUCUCACUGGCGAGGUCAUUCCGUCGAUAGAUGGGCGCUGCGGGUUUGGUGCGGCGUGGGUGGGUGGGGUGCAGCAAGGACGUGAGGAACCCUCUCAGAGAGAGAGAUUUCCGACCUACUGGGUAAGCGGUGUGAUGAUCCUUGGAUAGAGAACUUGCUCCGCCAGAGUAAAUCUGACAGAUGCCGAGCUGGCGGCGGGCACCAAGUCGAAGUCCACUGACAUGCUCCUAAAGCGAAGCUGGAUCGGGUUGGUGAGAAAGUCCUUCAUGCUCUUAGGGAAAACAAUGCCGGGCGGGAUGCCAUCCAGCUCGCUAGGGAGGAUGUCACAAUCAUCCCUACCUGGCGCACCAACUGUCGGAUUUAUAUGCCCGGUAGUCCACCAGGGGGUUACCCAAGUUGUUGAUUUGUAGGUGAGGGUGAUUGCAAAACCAAGAACUCUAAGGUGAUCGUCAAAACACGAAGGGACACGAAGGUUUUAGAUAGGUUCGGACCUCCGAAGAGUAAUACCCUACGUCCUGUAUGCUGGUUUGUAUUGCUUGAGAUUGAUAUGAUUGUUGGGAUACCCUUGGGGGUGCCCUUGGCCGCUUUAUAUAGGCUGACGAUCAAGAGUUACAAGUCAGUUUGAAUCUAAUCUACUCGAUAGUUACAUGGCAAGUAAUCUGAGUAGGACUACAAUACGCGUUCCAUGAUAUCCGGGCAUCUUUGAAUUGUCUUGUUGCUUUGACGUGCACUCCAAGUAACUUCAUGUCCUCAGCCCGCACACCUUGGUCGGGUGGGCCCUACUUGUCAGGUAUGACCAGUAUCCUGAGGUACCCAUAUCUCUCACCUCGGUGCUCCGGUGAUUAGGGUCGGCAACGCGGAUGGGGAUUGGAAGAGGAGAUCGAGGGGACUUUAUGGAGAUGCUCACCGGCGGCGAGGUGGACGGAUUCUGGCCAGAAUUUGGCUGGCGGUGGAAGAACACGGCAACUGGCUCAGGUCUUCGCGAGUGAUGGUACUCCGGCGGUGAAGCGGCGACGAAGAAUGGUGGCAGAGCUGCUCCUCGAUGUCACAGAGCUCCCUAAGGCUCUAGCUUGCUUGGAUAGUCGACGGGCAUAGCGAAUCGGCCAGAGAAGGCUAGCAGUGGCUCCUAGCUCCGGCGGAUGUGGGGGAUGGCGGCGCUCGUGCAAGCAGGGAAGAGCGGCGGUGUGAGGCAGGGUAGUAGCAGGGGCACUGUCUCGACUUUUAUUGGUGCGUGGGUCCACGCCUGCCUUGGCACGCACGCCGAGGUUCAGCGGUGGCAACGCCCAAGUGCAGCUACGCUUGGCCUCGACCCGCUAGUGGCCGAUGGGCCUAGCGGGCCUAGCCGAGCCAUCAGCUGGGCCGAGUCGGUGCAGGUUGGCUGGAGAGGGUUGGGCUACAAAGACUUGGUCCGAUUAGGAUUUUCCUUUUUUAGAAAGGAUUUCUCAUGAAAGAAAAAUCUAGAAAAAUUCUAGAUAAUUAAUUUAAACAACGAAAAAAACUCUAAAAAUCUAAAAUUCCAGGAAAAAUCCUAGAGAUAGUUUGGGACAUGAGGAGUCCAAAUACAAUACUUGGAGCUCAUGAAAAGAAUUCUAGAACCUUCCAAAAAUUGGAUUUAGUUGUAGAAAAAAUGAGAAUAAAUCCCAAGAAAUCUGGAAAUUCUCAUAAGAACCUAAUCGGCAUCUAAACGCAUUCCAAAAUAUUUGCACUUAUGAAAUACCAAGAUGCAUCGGUAUGAAUGCAACACAUACGCAGAACCAUUAUAUUUAAUUCAGAAAAACACUCAAUUAUUUUCCUAUACUAAAUUUCUUGUCAAGAAAAUAAAUGUUGGAAAAAUUUUAAAAUUAUGAGAAAAACAUUGUUUAAUUAUUAUUUUUAAUAUGAAAUUUCAAAAAUUUUAUGUGUGGCAGAUACCCUCAGGCAAAUUGGAUGUAUCCUUCAAUGAUCUGCAAGGUGAAGUGCCAAUAGGGCUUUUUUUUUGCAAAUGCAACUUACAUGUCGAUUUAUGGAAAUGAUCAGCUUUGUGGUGGAAUACCUCAACUUCAUUGAGCUGCAUUCUCCAUGUCCAGUGCAAAAAAGAAAAAAAGGAAAUUUGUCGAAAACCCUUGUGAUCACCCUAACAUCAAUCAGUGCAGUUGUAUUCUCAGUUUCAGUACUUGCUGUAAUUGUGUUGAUCUGUAAGAAGCUUAGGAAAAGCCAUGAAAGUCAACUCAUAUCCACAACUGAGGAACGGUAUGAAAGAGUUUCUUAUCAUGCUUUGUCAAAUGGGACCAAUGGAUUUUCAGAGGACAAUUUACUUGGACAAGGAAGCUAUGGCAUGGUUUAUAAAUGUACUUUACAUGACCAGGGUACUACUGUAGCUGUAAAGGUGUUUAACAUACAACAAUCUCGGACUUUUAGAAGUUUUGUCGCUGAAUGCGAGGCACUCAGAAGGGUGCGUCACCAUUGUCUCGUAAAGAUCAUCACUUGUUGCUCAAGCAUCAAUCACCGGGGUCAAGAGUUCAACGCACUAGUUUUUGAGCUCAUGUCAAAUGGUAGCCUAAAUGGUUGGCUUCACGCAGAGUCUGACACACUUACCCCGACAAAUACUUUGAGCCUUGAACAAAGGCUACACAUUGCUGUCGAUAUCAUGGAUGCUUUGGACUAUCUUGAUAAUCACUGUCAGCCAUCAAUCAUUCAUUGCGAUCUCAAGCCAAGCAACAUCUUUCUUGCGGAAGACAUGAGUGAGUGCCCGAGUUGGAGGUUUUGGCAUAUCAAGAAUCCUUCCAGAAAGUGCUAGUAAAACCCUGUAAAAUUCGAAUAGCACAACUGGAAUAAGAGGCACCAUUGGUUAUGUUGCACCAGGUAAUGAAAGAGAUGUUUUUGGUAUUUGAAAAAUGUUCUUAGUUCUUAUGUAUACAUGAGCUGCUGACCUUUGGCCUUUUUUUCCCAAUCAGAGUAUGGUGAAGGUUCUUCUGUCUCCACUAAAGGUGACGUUUAUAGCCUCGGCAUAUUGCUGCUUGAGAUGUUUACUGGAAGGAGCCCAACGGAUGAGAUAUUCAAUGAUUCUUUGGAUUUGCACAAGUUUUCAGAGAAUGCUCUUCCAGAGAGAAUAUGGGAUAUAGUUGAUCCGACAAUAUGGAUGCACACAGAUGCCUAUAACAGCACUAUAAGAAGUGGAAUUAAGAAUUGCUUGCUUUCUGUUGUUUCUCUCGGAAUAUCAUGCUCGAAGAAACAACCUAGGGAGCGGAUCCCGAUUCAGGAUGCAGCCAUGGAGAUGCACGCUAUUAGAGAUUCGUAUCUCAAGUUUGCCAGAUCUCUUUUGGUGGAGCAUGGAGUAGUAGCAACAACUCACAGUGAUUUCCCACAACAGUGAAUACAUAGGACUGAAAAUGGGCAAGAUGUCUGCUGGUGAUCAGUUUACCUGAAAUAACUGAAGAUGUAUGAAGCUUCAGCUUUAUAAUUCGUCCUUGCAUGUGUUUGCAUCAGAUAUAUGGAAGUAUAAAAUAAGUUUAGAAAAUGUUUCAAAAUAGAUUAGAUCAAGAGGUUUCUCUUGUCGUCUGUAUGACACAUUUUUUGUAGAGAAUUCAGUAAUAUGUAUGAUUCAUAAUACAAUCAAUGCUCUGCAAAUUUCAGAUAGCACAAUUGGAAUAAAAAGCUCAUUCAUUGAUUAUGUUGCUCUAGGUGACUCAACUUAUUGUGAUGUUCACUGUAGAUUUCUCCAUGGUCCAAACGACCUUUGUGAUCAGUUAUGUUUAUGCAUUUUGUAGACUUGUUAAGUCUUUCCCUAACUUGCUGACAUAUCAGCCGGAGCAGAGCACUCUAGGCGGCGCUUGCCGCUUGGUGGCUGCGGUGGCGACAGGCGGCAUCCAUACCUGCUCUGUCGGAGGCUGAGGGGCAUAAUUACGUCUUGGAGUCGCCACCGCGCGACCUUCGGAGCUCGCCCAUGCCUCGUCGGUACGAGCUCAGUCGCGCGGUGAAUGGCGCGUGCAUCUGGGGUCCGUCAGCUGCAGGUGCAGAUGGGUAGAGAGCUUAGAGGCGCUAGGUCUUCAGAAGAUGUUGAGUGGGCUGGAUGGGGCUUUGCGGCUCUGAAUGGCGACGCGGGCAGGGACGACGACGCUGGACGCGUGGGGGAGGAGACGACCUGAACCAGGGGCAUUUCUGAUAAUAGUCGGAUCGCGAUCAAUAAUCGCAAUCCAAAUUAGGGGGCUAUUUACAAAUAAUAGGGGGGUAUUCCGUAAAUAUUUGGUUCGCGAUCAUUAAUCGUGAUCCAAAUGAGGGGUUAAUUGAAAAUAUGAUGGGGUAUCUUUAGAAAUUCCGGACCGCGAUCCCAUCCUCCGCCGCGGCUCGCCGGAGCGCCGCCAGACGCCGGCUGUCCCUUGGGGUACCUCUUCUUCCUUCCGCCUGUCGGAGCCCUAAGACGCGGUCGGUGUUUUAUCUGACAAGGAACCCUGAAGUCCGAACUAACUGAAGGAGACAGACAUGAUGCUGACCUGGAAGAAGACGGCCUCGCCAUGGCCGGAUGCGGCGCGGUGGAAGGACAGUGUGGUGGCGGAGCGGAUGUUGUCCGACGUGAACUCGCCAGCGGCGUGGUCCACCACAUUCCGUCGACGGGCGGUGCACUUGCUGUCGCCUGUCGGCUACUUCCAGGCAGUAGCUGAGCUUCAGAGUUCAGACAGGGUGCUUGUGCUUGCAACAAGUUCAGAACGAUGUCAUUGCUUUGAUGCAGAGGAUGGAGCAAACCGGUUGCAAAUUGGAUUCUGAUACAUAUAACUUAAUAUUGAACCUUUAUGUCGAUUGGAAAUAUGAGAAGGGGUGCACCAAAUAUGGGAUGAGAUGGAGAGGAGUGGAUCAGGCCCAGAUCAACGAUCAUUUACUAUUAUGGUUCAUGGUCUUCAUUCCCAAGGAAAGCUUGAUGAGGCUCAACAAUGAAGUCAAGAGGGUUGAUCCCUGAACCAAGGACCAAGAUACUGGUGAAAGCUAUACAUAUGAAGAAAGAUGGGGCUGUCACAGAAGAUCAGUCUGCAAAUAUGACAGGGAAGAAUCUAAAACUGGAUCCACGAUCUAGACUAUUCCAUGUUCAUAAAUAGUUUGCUGUCAGAUCUUACUUCUAUAACCUGAACAGAGGAUUGCUGGGCACGUAUUAUGUGUCAAAAGAAUCUCUUCUACCAG